GGCGACACAGGUGAUGGCGGAGCCGG
RNAcentral lists this non-coding RNA (26 nucleotides) under Homo sapiens (human). The record is from RNAcentral. Lineage: Eukaryota; Metazoa; Chordata; Mammalia; Primates; Hominidae.